CAAUAGCGUAUAUUAAGGUUGUUGCAGUUAAAAAGCUCGUAGUUGGAUUUGUGGCGUACGGUGGGUUCCGGGCACUUGUUGUCUGAGUAACUUGCUGUUGCCAUCCUUGGGUGGAACCUGUGUGGCAUUAGGUUGUCGUGCAGGGGAUGCCCAUCAUUUACUGUGAAAAAAUUAGAGUGUUCAAAGCAGGCUUAUGCCGUUGAAUAUAUUAGCAUGGAAUAAUGAGAUAGGACUUUUUUGCUAUUUUGUUGGUUUGCGCAAAGAGGUAAUGAUUAAUAGGGACAGUUGGGGGUAUUCGUAUUCCAUUGUCAGAGGUGAAAUUCUUGGAUUUUUGGAAGACGAACUACUGCAAAAGCAUUUACCAAGGAUGUUUUCAUUAA
This 380-nucleotide ribosomal RNA is filed under the name uncultured eukaryote. RNAcentral's name for it is "partial 18S ribosomal RNA". It matches the Rfam family "Eukaryotic small subunit ribosomal RNA", at positions 592 to 976 of the family's 1831-position model. The record is from RNAcentral.